Molecule: long non-coding RNA, 829 nt
Filed under: Prunus persica (peach)
Lineage: Eukaryota; Viridiplantae; Streptophyta; Magnoliopsida; Rosales; Rosaceae
Description: long non-coding RNA (PPER_LNC002674)
Source: RNAcentral
GAGUCUUUAAGACGUGUGCAGAACAUGGAUGUAUUAUUGAAAAAUACGUAUACGCGUAUAAUACAGUAUUAAAUGUGAAAGCACUAAAUUCUUAAUACGGGUAAUAACUUUGAAAAAGUAAAAAAUCAAAAGGUGGCAAUAGAGACUUGGAUAAUUGCCUAAUAGUAAUGGAUAAUGUUCUAAAAUACUCUUACCGAUAAACGAAAAUCGGGAAAAAAAAUUUAAAAGAAAAAAAAGGAUCCCAGCAUAUAGAUAAAGCAAUAAUUUUAAAAAAAGAGCACCGUAAAGCCACGCGACUAUACUAUUUUUUUUAAAACAUUAAAAAAUCGAGUAUAGCAGCGUGGCCUUACUAUUUAUAAAAAUAAAAAAAAACACCAGCCUAGCGCUAAAGCGCCUGCGUGUCAAAACAGUAUAGCCGCGCGGCUAUACGAUUUUUUUAAAAAUAUUUUAUAUUUAAAGGGUAUUGAAUAAAAUAAAAAUAAAAAUAAUAAAAAAGGGCCCUCCUAGUUGCACUAGUUUAUACUUUAUAGAUAUUAAUUUUCUAGUUUCAACAUAUCCAAAGCAUAUAUUGAAUAGAGAGAAAUUUCACAGUAAAUCAAUAUGAGAGUUCAAUUAUUUCUUUUUUUUUGGUGUGGGAAUGUUUGCUUUGAUCGACCUCGUUUUCUCAAAUGCUACUAAAUUAUGUUACUGUACACAUUAUUUAUCGUAGAUAAUUGCAUGCUAAGUUGCAAUGUUCUUGAUAAUUGCUUCACUGUUCAAACAACACUUAUACAUGAACAAUACUACCGCCUAUGUUAGUGCUAUACUCAUAAAUAUUUGUUCGAAAUUG